This 499-nucleotide ribosomal RNA is filed under the name uncultured bacterium. Its description in RNAcentral is "partial 16S ribosomal RNA". It matches the Rfam family "Bacterial small subunit ribosomal RNA", at positions 28 to 507 of the family's 1533-position model. The record is from RNAcentral.
GACGAACGCUGGCGGCGUGCUUAACACAUGCAAGUCGAACGGGCCCGCUCUCUUUUUUGGGGGUGGGUUGAGUGGCGAACGGGUGAGUAUCACGUGAGUAACCUGCCCCCUGCUCCUGGAUAACUGCUUGAAAGGGCGGCUAAUACGGGGUGUGCCGGCUGGUCCGCAUGGGCCUGGUCGGGAUAGUUUCAUCUUCGGGUGUUUCGGUGGGGGAUGGGCUCGCGGCCUAUCAGCUUGUUGGUGGGGUGAUGGCCCACCAAGGCGGUGACGGGUAGCCGGCCUGAGAGGGUGGGCGGCCACACUGGGACUGAGACACGGCCCAGACUCCUGCGGGAGGCAGCAGUGGGGGGUAUUGCACAAUGGGCGGAAGCCGGAUGCAGCGACGUCGCGUGAGGGAUGGAGGCCUUCGGGUUGUGAACCUCUUUCUCCGGUGGUGAAGGCCCUGUCCGUUGCGGCGGGGUUGACGGUAGCCGGGUAUGAAGCGCCGGCUAACUACGUG